Molecule: ribosomal RNA, 462 nt
Filed under: uncultured bacterium
Lineage: Bacteria
Description: partial 16S ribosomal RNA
Rfam family: Bacterial small subunit ribosomal RNA
Source: RNAcentral
GACGAACGCUGGCGGCGUGCUUAACACAUGCAAGUCGAACGGAAAGGCCCUUCGGGGUACUCGAGUGGCGAACGGGUGAGUAACACGUGGGUGAUCUGCCCUGCACUUUGGGAUAAGCCUGGGAAACUGGGUCUAAUACCGAAUAGGACCACGCGCUUCAUGGUGUGUGGUGGAAAGCUUUUGCGGUGUGGGAUGGGCCCGCGGCCUAUCAGCUUGUUGGUGGGGUAAUGGCCUACCAAGGCGACGACGGGUAGCCGGCCUGAGAGGGUGACCGGCCACACUGGGACUGAGAUACGGCCCAGACUCCGACGGGAGGCAGCAGUGGGGAAUAUUGCACAAUGGGCGCAAGCCUGAUGCAGCGACGCCGCGUGAGGGAUGACGGCCUUCGGGUUGUAAACCUAUUUCAAUAGGGACGAAGCGCAAGUGACGGUACCUAUAGAAGAAGCACCGGCCAACUACGUG